RNAcentral lists this ribosomal RNA (868 nucleotides) under uncultured bacterium. RNAcentral's name for it is "bacterial SSU rRNA". It matches the Rfam family "Bacterial small subunit ribosomal RNA", at positions 32 to 916 of the family's 1533-position model. The record is from RNAcentral.
GAAGCUGGCGGCGUACUAACACAUGCAAGUCGAACGUGAAAAUCCCUUCGGGGAUGAGUAAAGUGGCAAACGGGUGAGUAACACGUGGAUAACCUACCCUUCAGUGGGGGAUAACCCUACGAAAGCGGGGCUAAUACCGCAUGAAGAGCCGCUAAAUAAUUAGUCGGCUUCAAAGCCUUCGGGCGCUGAAGGAGGGGUCCGCGGCCCAUUAGCUAGUUGGUGAGGUAAUGGCUCACCAAGGCUACGAUGGGUAGCCGGCCUGAGAGGGUGUACGGCCACACUGGAACUGAGACACGGUCCAGACUCCUACGGGAGGCAGCAGUGGGGAAUAUUGCGCAAUGGGCGAAAGCCUGACGCAGCGACGCCGCGUGGGUGAUGAAGUUCUUCGGAACGUAAAACCCUGUCAGGAGGGACGAAGAUCUGACGGUACCUCCAAAGGAAGCCCCGGCUAACUCCGUGCCAGCAGCCGCGGUAAUACGGGGGGGGCAAGCGUUGUUCGGAAUUACUGGGCGUAAAGGGCGCGUAGGCGGCUGAGCAGGUCCGGUGUGAAAUCCCUCGGCUCAACUGAGGAAUUGCGCUGGAAACCGCUUGGCUCGAGUACAGGAGAGGAGGGCGGAAUUCCCGGUGUAGCGGUGAAAUGCGUAGAUAUCGGGAAGAACACCGGUGGCGAAGGCGGCUCUCUGGACUGUAACUGACGCUGAGGCGCGAAAGCGUGGGGAGCGAACGGGAUUAGAUACCCCGGUAGUCCGCGCUGUAAACGUUGGGUACUUGGUGUUGGGGGUUUGAGUCCCUCAGUGCCGAAGCUAACGCAUUAAGUACCCCGCCUGGGGAGUACGGUCGCAAGGCUGAAACUCAAAUGAAUUGACGG